UGUUUCCUUCAACCUACGAUUUAAAAGCAUGGAGGAGCAGCUCAUUCUUCGGCUUGUUACUUCCCCCUGUGCAACUUUUCAUUAAUCAGAAAUAUAGUUUUGUUUCAGUGAUCAGCGUUCACCAGGAAGAAUGGGCAUCCACACUGGCACUGCUUCUUAUGUCUUUUCCUUAUAUUUUCUUCGCUUCAUCCUUCACACAUCAGCAGCCUACGGAAGUGCAACCAUAUCAUCGACUCUGGGGGUGUCUUCAGCAACGAACGUGUUCAGAGUUAGUUUGUUGUCCACGAACGUUAUGAAUUGUGUAGUUUAAUGUGCAUAUUAAAUGAUUGUUACCACAACAGGUCACCACCACCACCACCGCCGCCACCAACUAGGGGAGGAAGAGACUUUGGCCGGGACUACCCUCCAGCUAGGGAUUACAGAGACAGGGGUGCUAGAGAUAUGAGAGAUGAGAGACCUGGGUACAGGAACAGAAGUCCUCGUUAUCGAUAGUGAACACUGUAUAAAAGUAGGAGGCCAGUUAUGUGGAUUGGGUAGAUGAACAAUGUCCCAGGAUGCAGAGCUACAGAACAAACAGAGUUGCUAAAUGUAGCAUCUGAAUGUUGUCUGCAACAAAAUGUUAUGCCCAAGAAGGUUGUGGCACUAUUACGUUUUUGUUGUAACUGUGACCCUGUGUUCAAAAAAUGUUUGAAAUUUUAUAUGGAAGUUGAAUCUAGGAUACAUUGUAUAUUGUAAAUAUUUUAUAGUGAAGCCAAAGACUUUUACAUAGAACUGUCUAAUAAUGGUUCAUAUUGUUACAUUUAAAAAUCUUUUUUAGGAAUACCUAUUUAUUACAAGUUAUUCAACAGGAUAAGUAUUUCAAAAUUGACUUGUAUGCAUGUUCAAAAAAAAAUGUGGGCAUUUGGGAGCCCUCCAGUUACUAUAUAUAACAGUUUGUGAAUUAUGCCAUUUUUGACGUCCUUGGUACCCAUUUUCUGUGUACAACUUCUUUUCAAUCCAAUGUUAGUAUUGGACAGUCUAAGUAUAAACACCAAUGUGGACAAAGGGUAUCUGAAAAAGGGAAAAUGUUCAAAAUUUCAUGAAGCCAUGCCCAGUUCAAUGUUUCGUAACACAUGAGGUAAUUUUAGUUGAAUAUAUCCAAUUUUAUUUCAGACUUGUAUGAUGGUAAUGCUGUAUAAGUGGGUUUUGUGUUUUAGGUGGUUUUAGUUUUAAUGCUUGUGAAUCUGACAAGUACGCCAAAUACAUAUGUCACUGCAGGAUCAAAGGUCUGUCUUGCUUCAGUGCUGUAAAUAAAAUAACAUUAAUAAAAUACUAUUUUGAAAUCUUUUA
This is a long non-coding RNA of Lingula anatina, 1329 nucleotides long. NCBI's taxonomy places the organism in Eukaryota, Metazoa, Brachiopoda, Lingulata, Lingulida, Lingulidae. The record is from RefSeq and is a predicted model, not a curated record.